GACGAACGCUGGCGGCGUGCCUAAUACAUGCAAGUAGAACGCUGAAGGAGGAGCUUGCUCUUCUGGAUGAGUUGCGAACGGGUGAGUAACGCGUAGGUAACCUGCCUGGUAGCGGGGGAUAACUAUUGGAAACGAUAGCUAAUACCGCAUAACAGUAGAUGUUGCAUGACAUUUGCUUAAAAGGUGCAAUUGCACCACUACCAGAUGGACCUGCGUUGUAUUAGCUAGUUGGUGGGGUAACGGCUCACCAAGGCGACGAUACAUAGCCGACCUGAGAGGGGGAUCGGCCACACUGGGACUGAGACACGGCCCAGACUCCUACGGGAGGCAGCAGGAGGGAAUCUUCGGCAAUGGACGGAAGUCUGACCGAGCAACGCCGCGUGAGUGAAGAAGGUUUUCGGAUCGUAAAGCUCUGUUGUAAGAGAAGAACGAGUGUGAGAGUGGAAAGUUCACAAUGUGACGGUAUCUUACCAGAAAGGGACGGCUAACUACGUG
Molecule: ribosomal RNA, 495 nt
Filed under: uncultured bacterium
Lineage: Bacteria
Description: partial 16S ribosomal RNA
Rfam family: Bacterial small subunit ribosomal RNA
Source: RNAcentral